CUUUAACAAGCAUGUGCACGCUCCCCGAAGAACUCUCCACGUCUUUCAUCUUCUCACCUGUGCACGGCGGGGUGGGGGGGCAUGGGUUUGGUAAAACGAAGUCAUGCCAGUGCCUUUCCCUGGGGGGGGGAGGUCGAGUACCUAUGUAUUAAAAAUACAUCUUCGUGUAGAAAGGCUUUGAAUGUUUACGAUCAUAGAGCCGCGACUUCUAGGAGACGCGGGGCUUUGAGAUAAAAGUUAUUACAACUUUCACCAAUGGAUCUCUUGGCUCUCGCAUCGAUGAAGGACGCACCGGGAAGCGAUAUGUAAUGUGAAUUGCAGAUCUACAGUGAAUCAUCGAAUCUUUGAACGCACCUUGCGCUCCUUGGUAUUCCGAGGAGCAUGCCUGUUUGAGUGUCACUUAAUUCAUCAACCCCUCUCUAUUAUCUUCGAGGGGGAGCUUGUGUAGUGGGGGUUGCCGGAGACUUGGGACUAGUUCCAGGACUCGGGCUCUCCUGAAAUGCAUCGGGUUGCGGUCGACUUUCUACUGUGCGCGAAAAGGCUUUCGGCGUGGAUAAUGAGCGCCGUGUGCUGAAUGCAUGAAUGAUGGUUCCGUGCCUCUAAUACACAUCCCCUUUUACUAUGUCUUUGAAAUUUUGACAUUUUGACCUCAAAUCACGUAGGACUACCCGCUGAACUUAACAUAUCA
This 688-nucleotide ribosomal RNA is filed under the name Rhizopogon sp. DL-2015. RNAcentral describes it as "eukaryotic LSU rRNA". The stretch from base 245 to 399 matches the Rfam family "5.8S ribosomal RNA". Lineage: Eukaryota; Fungi; Basidiomycota; Agaricomycetes; Boletales; Rhizopogonaceae. The record is from RNAcentral.